Molecule: ribosomal RNA, 396 nt
Filed under: uncultured bacterium
Lineage: Bacteria
Description: partial 16S ribosomal RNA
Rfam family: Bacterial small subunit ribosomal RNA
Source: RNAcentral
AAUAUUGCACAAUGGGGGAAACGCUGAUGCAGCGACGCCGCGUGAGUGAAGAAGGCCUUCGGACCGUAAAACUCUGUCCUGGGUGAAGUGAAUUACGAUAGCCAAGGAGGAUGCCCCGCCGAACUACGUACCAGCAGCCGCGGUAAUACGUAGGGGGCUAGCGUUGUCCGGAUUUACUGGGCGUAAAGGGUUAGUAGGCGGUUGCAUAAGUCAGAUGUAAAAGGCUAAGGCUUAACCGUAGUAUGCAUUUGAACCUGUGUGACUUGAGAACAGGAGAGGUUAGUGGAAUUCCUAGUGUAGCGGUGAAAUGCGUAGAUAUUAGGAGGAACACCAGUGGCGAAGGCGACUUACUGGACUGUAACUGACGCUGAGUCACGAAAGCGUGGGUAGCAAACA